Epinephelus fuscoguttatus (brown-marbled grouper) is the source of this 567-nucleotide long non-coding RNA. RefSeq lists it as uncharacterized. The transcript is spliced from 3 exons. NCBI's taxonomy places the organism in Eukaryota, Metazoa, Chordata, Actinopteri, Perciformes, Serranidae. The record is from RefSeq and is a predicted model, not a curated record.
GAGAGAAGUCGAAGAGGAAGAGGCGAAGUGAGCGAGAGACAGAGAAGUCGGAGUGGAAGAGGCAAAGUGAACGAGGGACAGAGAGAAGUCGAAGAGGAAGAGGCAAAGUGAGUGAGGGACAGAGAGAAGUCGAAGAGGAAGAGGCGAAGUGAGUGAGGGACAGAGAGAAGUCGAAGAGGAAGAGGCGAAGUGAGCGAGAGACAGAGAAGUCGGAGUGGAAGAGGCAAAGUGAGCGAGGGACAGAGAGAGAAGUUGGAGUGGAAGAGGCGAAGUGAGCAAGGGACAGAGAGAAGUCGAAGAGGAAGAGGCGAAGUGAGCGAGAGACAGAGAAGUUGGAGUGGAAGAGGCAAAGUGAGCGAGGGACAGAGAGAGAAGUCGGAGUGGAAGAGGCGAAGUGAGUGAGGGACAGAGAGAAGUCGAAGAGGAAGAGGCAAAGUGAGCGAGGGACAGAGAGAGAGAAACAGAGGGAGUUUUCCCCAGUCUGAGCAAAGUAUCCCUGUACAUCUUUAGCAUGUUGGGCUCCACAUACAGCUGUGAGCCAGCUUUCUCCACAAUGAACAUAAUAAA